Small nuclear RNA from Suncus etruscus (white-toothed pygmy shrew), 164 nucleotides. RefSeq annotates it as U1 spliceosomal RNA. NCBI's taxonomy places the organism in Eukaryota, Metazoa, Chordata, Mammalia, Eulipotyphla, Soricidae. The record is from RefSeq and is a predicted model, not a curated record. The transcript has a single exon.
AUACUUACCUGACAGGGGCGAUUCCAUGAUUAGAAAGGUGGUUUCCCCAGGGUGAGGUUUGCCGAUUGCACUCCGGACAUGCUGGCCCCUGUGAUUUCCCCAAAUGUGGGAAACUUGACUCCACAAUUUGUGAUAGUGGAAGACUGCAUGCAUGCUCUCUCUUG